AUUGAACGCUGGCGGCAGGCCUAACACAUGCAAGUCGAGCGGAUGAAGGGAGCUUGCUCCUGGAUUCAGCGGCGGACGGGUGAGUAAUGCCUAGGAAUCUGCCUGGUAGUGGGGGAUAACGUCCGGAAACGGGCGCUAAUACCGCAUACGUCCUGAGGGAGAAAGUGGGGGAUCUUCGGACCUCACGCUAUCAGAUGAGCCUAGGUCGGAUUAGCUAGUUGGUGGGGUAAAGGCCUACCAAGGCGACGAUCCGUAACUGGUCUGAGAGGAUGAUCAGUCACACUGGAACUGAGACACGGGCCAGACUCCUACGGGAGGCAGCAGGGGGGAAUAUUGGACAGUGGGCGAAAGCCUGAUCCAGCCAUGCCGCGUGUGUGAAGAAGGUCUUCGGAUUGUAAAGCACUUUAAGUUGGGAGGAAGGGCAGUAAGUUAAUACCUUGCUGUUUUGACGUUACCAACAGAAUAAGCACCGGCUAACUUCGU
RNAcentral lists this ribosomal RNA (483 nucleotides) under uncultured bacterium. Its description in RNAcentral is "partial 16S ribosomal RNA". It matches the Rfam family "Bacterial small subunit ribosomal RNA", at positions 30 to 506 of the family's 1533-position model. The record is from RNAcentral.